GCCGUCGUAGCUCAGUCGGUAGAGCAGCUCCAUGGUAGGGAGCAGGUCGCCGGUUCGACUCCGGCCGGCGGCUCCA
RNAcentral lists this transfer RNA (76 nucleotides) under Micromonospora parathelypteridis. RNAcentral's name for it is "tRNA-Thr". It matches the Rfam family "tRNA". Rfam says of the family: Transfer RNA (tRNA) molecules are approximately 80 nucleotides in length. Their secondary structure includes four short double-helical elements and three loops (D, anti-codon, and T loops). Further hydrogen bonds mediate the characteristic L-shaped molecular structure. tRNAs have two regions of fundamental functional importance: the anti-codon, which is responsible for specific mRNA codon recognition, and the 3' end, to which the tRNAs corresponding amino acid is attached (by aminoacyl-tRNA synthetases). tRNAs cope with the degeneracy of the genetic code in two manners: having more than one tRNA (with a specific anti-codon) for a particular amino acid; and 'wobble' base-pairing, i.e. permitting non-standard base-pairing at the 3rd anti-codon position. The record is from RNAcentral. Lineage: Bacteria; Bacillati; Actinomycetota; Actinomycetes; Micromonosporales; Micromonosporaceae.